GUUAAGUUAGUUUAAAUAAAAAUAUCAGCCUGUGGAUUUGAUGAUGAAAAUUAAUUUCACUUAACC
Molecule: transfer RNA, 66 nt
Filed under: Mitrella albuginosa
Lineage: Eukaryota; Metazoa; Mollusca; Gastropoda; Neogastropoda; Columbellidae
Description: tRNA-His
Rfam family: tRNA
About the family: Transfer RNA (tRNA) molecules are approximately 80 nucleotides in length. Their secondary structure includes four short double-helical elements and three loops (D, anti-codon, and T loops).
Source: RNAcentral